AUUCCCAUGAAGAAAGAGACGAGUGGAAGAACCGAUCUCUACAUUGCUAGCUGGCUGAAGUCUCAACCUCGCGAUAAGGUACUUUUUCAUGCCAGAUGACAUAUUUGUGUUCCUGACUCGAAAUUUUCGAGAUACUGUUGUAUUGUCUCAUCUCUCGUGAAUAUCUCGAUGACUUAUGUUUGUACUACUUGAGUAUUCGUUGAGGAAUUGAUUUGAGUACUGGUUUCUACGUGCAUAUUUUCCGCAGGUUAUUUUGGCAACAAAAGUAUGCGGCUAUUCAGAACGAUCGGCUUAUCUACGUGACAAUGCAAAAGUUUUACGGGUUGAUGCUGUGAACAUUAGAGAAAGCGUAGAGAAAAGCCUUAAACGACUCAACACUGAUUACAUUGAUUUACUGCAAAUUCAUUGGUAAGGUUACAGUUCUUUUAGGUGCAUCCAUGUGACGGUAGGCAUUUACAGACAUGGCAUCAACUUGCUUGUACUGGUGUUUUACUAUGUAAAAAAGUACUUUUUAUUACCGUGUCUUGUCAUAUUCUUAUCCUUAUCUCUUAAAAGUUAUCGUAUGUACCUGAGUAGUAUGUCUGUGUAUGUGCUUCAUUGAUGUAAUCAUAUUUUCUUGAACUUACGGUUUCAACCAGGCCAGAUCGUUAUGUGCCAUUGUUCGGUGAGUAUUUCUAUGAUUCUUCAAAAUGGCGACCGAGUAUACCGUUUGUGGAACAACUUAAGGCUUUACAAGAAGUCAUCGAUGAAGGAAAGGUAAUAAAAAACAGAGAUCAAAUUAAAUCGGAUUGCUGUUGGAAAAUCUUAUGUUACUCUAUUCAUAUAUGAGUGUCAGAUAUACAUACAACUGUCGGAAAAUCUGCUUGUGAUAUUUAAUCAGUUGUUUGAAGAUGUCACAAAUACUAAGAUUUGUAUAUGAAUGCUCUUUGAUUUCAGGUACGCUAUAUCGGAGUUUCUAACGAGACUUCGUAUGGAGUAAUGGAGUUUGUUCAUGCAGCUCGAGUUGAAGGACUAUCGAAGAUCGUUAGUAUCCAAAACAGCUACAGUCUUCUGGUCCGGCGUUUCGAGGGUAAAACUCAUCCAAAAUCUAUAUAAAUGUUAUACUAGCAUCUCAAUAUCUCGCUGUUGCAUCGAUUUAGUUGUUCCUGAAGUUUCGAUUCAUAUGCAAUGACCAACAAACGAAUGCCCCGGAAUUGAACCUCUGCUUAGCAGAGCCUUGGUCUUCUCUCAGGAUUGAAUCAGUUCUGGCUAUACUUAAUCUAAAUUCGUUUUCUUGUUCUCCUUCCGGGUAUUGUCUGAACAUAAACAUGUUUGAGAAAUCAGUAACAUUCUCCUUUUGCAGUCGACCUGGUCGAAGUUUGUCACCCAAAGAAUUGCAAUAUCGGGUUACUUUCUUACUCUCCGCUCGCCGGUGGAGCGCUAAGCGGAAAAUACUUGGAUAUCAAUUCCAAAGCGGCAAAGAAAGGGAGGAUGAACCUUUUCCCUGGCUACAUGGAAAGAUAUAACAAGUCAAUUGCCAAGGUAUAUAUGUAUGUUGAUGGUUGAAAUGCUCCCUCUACUAAAAAGAAUAGGCAAAUUACUCCCUCUACAUUAAAAACUUCAUCAAUUUGUACAGUUAAAAAACUGGCAUGGCUUCCAAAAUAACCACAUAGUAACCUGUGGCUGCCACAUGUAACUCGUGCUGACAUACUUGGACUAAUUUUUAACAAUAGAUAUGGAUGGAAAUUUUAACAUAAAGACUAGUUUACUCUCUAAUCUAACAUAUAGAGAUUAAUUUGUCCAUUUUUUGAGUAGAGUGAGUAAAAUGUAAUUCUACCCCUAAUACCAGUGCAUACAUGGUAUUUUUACAAAUGAUUGACGUAUUGGUGGGGAUUUUCAGGAAGCAACAAUGCAAUAUAUUGAGAUGGCGAAAAAGCAUGGAUUAAGUCCCGUUCAACUCGCGCUCGGGUUUGUACGAGAUCGUCCGUUUAUGACGAGUUCGAUCAUCGGCGCAACCUCGGUUGAGCAGCUGAAGGAAGACAUUGAUGCAUUUCUAACAACUCAACGGCCUUUGCCACCAGAGGUAAUGGAAGAUAUUGAAGCCAUUUUCAAAAGAUACAAAGAUCCUGCCAUUCUCUGAGAUCAAAGAUAUUCAUUUUCUUCAGAUUUUUUCAUUUUUCUUGAAGUACCCAUACUCGUAUCUUUGCUCGAUAUCAACAUUAAGCUUGACCAAAAAAGUCAGAGAAAACCGAGACUGGUUCAAACCGAUUAUUCAGUUCAGUUUGAUAUUCGGUUUCAUUAUUAUUAUUAUUUUUAGUGAUAAACAAGAAAACAAAAUUACAUCAAUGUAAAUUGGACAAAAGCAUCAUUAGCCUUAUUCUGUUGAAUAAACUUUAAAACUUCAUUCGGGGCGCCAUUAAAGAUUUUUCUUUCUCACUAAGCUCAUUUUGGCCGUACAAUCAACUAGAAUACCAUAGCUUUAAAAAGUAAAAUAAAUUUGCCUUUUACAUCUAUUAUAUAAAAAUAGAAAAGCAGAACGAUUUAUUUAGCCCUUUAAUUUUGCAAAAAGGGUCAUUUUAGCCCUUCAACAUUUUUUGGCCUCUUUUAGCUUUUCAAAUUACCGUGUUUGUCAUUUUAGCUCAAAAUGGAUGAAAAAUACAUGAUAAAAUUUGAAGUUAAAUAUUAUAAUUUUUAAUAUUUUUAUUUUAUCAUUUUAACUAAAGUCUCAUUUGUUAUUUAUAUCAAAAUUUUAUAAAUGUAUUUAUUACAAAUUUUAUUUUUCCCUGUGCAUGAGUUUUAUGCACGGUCAAUGAAUAAAAAUAUUAUUAUUGGAACCAAGUUCCAACACCACAUGAGUGUAUAUAUACUACUGAUCACAACCCAUGAUGCCAUUUCCUUUUUUUGUUUUAUUUUCAUAAUUUUGUUUGAGAAAUAUUCAAGAUGCUCUCGAAUACUAGUUUUUAAUAUUUUAAAUUAAUAUUUAAUAUAUAUAUCUUAUAAUUGCCGAUUAAGUCUUAGCUCGACUGGUAUGGAGGAGGAUGUGGAUUCGAGUGUGUUGAAGUGCAUUAUUCUCCUAUUUAUGAGUUGGGAGGGGCUAUAGAUAAUUCUAGACAUUGUCUCUAAAAGAGCACAUAAAAAAAUAUUUUUUUUUAUCCAUACGGUUACAAUAUGAUGAUGUCUAUAAUUUCAAAGGGAAUCACAAAUAACAUAUUAAAAGGAUUUUUUUUUUUUUGCUACAAGAUGUAGGAAAAUCUCCUAACUCGCCUAGAUCGACUAUAUGAGUUCAAGCUAUUUCAGAGUAAUCAUCAUGCAGUAAUUGAAGAACUUCAUCUGACGGUUGUAUGUAUAUUAGCUUGGCUAAUGGUCUUCAGGAUGCCAUUCGUGCCAAUCCAUCCGCUACCUUAUUUCCCUCCCUAAUGGGUAGUAAAAUUAUCAAAUUAGGUUAGAGUUUUUAACUAAUUUAGGUUAGGGUUUUUAACUAAAUUAGGUUAGGGUUUUUAAUUAAAUUAAAUUAGGUUAGGGUUUUUAAAUAAAUUAUGGUUAGAGUUUUUAAUUAAAUUAGGUUAGGAUUUUUAAUUAAAUUAAAUUAGGGUUAGGGUUUUUAAUUAAAUUGGGUUAGGGUUUUUAAUUAAAUUAAAUUAGGUUAGGGUUUUUAAAUAAAUUAUGGUUAGGGUUUUUAAUUAAAUUAGGUUAGGGUUUUUAAUUAAAUUAAAUUAGGGUUAGGGUUUUUAAUUAAAUUGGGUUAGGGUUUUUAAUUAAAUUAAAUUAGGUUAGGGUUUUUAAAUAAAUUAUGGUUAGGGUUUUUAAUUAAAUUAGGUUAGGGUUUUUAAUUAAAUUAAAUUAGAGUUAGGGUUUUUAAUUAAAUUAAAUUAGGUUAGGGUUUUUAAUUAAAUUAGGUUAGGGUUUAGGAUUUUUAAAUAAAUUAGGUUAGGGUUUUUAAUUAAAUUAAAUUAGGUUAGAGUUUUUAAUUAAAUUAUGGUUACGGUUUUUAAUUAAAUUAGGUUAGGAUUUUUAAUCAAAUAAUAUCAAAAUAACUUGGAAAAAUUUCUCUGUGUAUUACAUCGUCAUAAACUUCUAUUUCAUUACAUCAAAUGAUAAAUUUUAAUACGGUAAUCAAUGUCUAUGACCGGGGGAUUCGGUUCCACAUGGCAGCCGUCGACGGUUACGCGCUGGAUUCCUCCUUCCUCUAGCUUCCGGCGGCGGUUGUUCUUCCUCCGAUGGUGAUUGUUGUUCUUCCGGUUCGGCAUCUGGUUGUCGGACUUGGGACGAUGAUCCACCUUCAAAGAAUAGUAUAUGUGGAGGUGUUUACAUCAUGAACGGCGACGGAGUUUGAAAGCCAUGCGUUGCUGGCGAUUGGGGUAAAAAGGAGAGCUCCCCGACGGCCCCCAUUGCGAUCCCUCCUGCACCGCUGGCCUAGUUAUCGGUGGUCCGCUCGACAUUACAGGAAAUGGAGCUGAUCCGGGUAUUUGGCUCCAACCUGCCAUAAGAUUCGGAAAAGGAUACAUGUACGGGUUAGGGUACAUAUAAGGGCUAGGAAACAUACCUGGCAUCAUAGGAAAAGACGAAUGCGUGGGUAUCAUCUGUUGAAUUGCUGCGUCAGGUGACUGCGUCGGUGCUCUCGCUGGGGACGGUGAUUGCAUGGCCGCUGAUGGUGAACCGGGUGAAUGUCUGGGCCUCGUUGAGGGGCUGCCCUCGUAGUCUUGUCCCCUUGGAUUUAGAGGCCCGCGCCUUUCCCUUCCGGCACGUAUUUGCCGCUGCCUCUCCUCUGGCAUAAGUAAAUACGGCUUUCCAUGGAUCCUAAACCAUGGCAUGUAUUCUGGAACGCACGCUAACUCGGGAACGAUGAUUUGUUCCCGAGUAGGUAGAUAUUCAUGCCGAUUUUCCCACAUUUCUGUGUACUCUGACCAGUAUCUAGUCCAAUCCGUACCUAAUAGCCGAAGGUCGAUUUUGUGGUGCUCGUCAAACACCUCAGGGUCUGCAGGGAUCGAUUAUCUACAUCCAAACUGUCGUAGGACUCUGUCUGUCUGGUGAGGCUCCACGGUUGCAUAUUUGAUCAACACCACUUUCACGUGCCAAGCGUUCGGAUUUUGUAAAAACUCUUCCGGGAUUACUGCCCGGACUACCGGAUCCUCGUAUGGUGUCCAUUGAAACUACAUGAACAUGAUAGAAAUAUUACAUAUAUACAUAAUACUAAAUACUAAAUACUAAAUAUCAAUCCAUUAGCGAAUGUAUGGAAAUAUCUACUUGCAAUAAUACUUACUUCUGCUUCCGACCGUUGCUUCAAUAGAAGCCGUAUAUCUUCAAGUUCAGACGGUAAUCCACGAUAACUUGUCGGAUGGUUCCACCUAAUUAAAUAAAUUUUUAGCAUACUUUUAUUCUUACAAAAUCUACAUAACAAUUUCAAAAUGUAAUAUAAAAUUUACCUUGUUACGAGUGGGAAUGUAUAUGGGUGGUUCACUUGAGGACGUAGAAAUGGAAAUCGAAACCGUGCCCAUGAUUGCAGUAGUGACAGGCAACCUCCGAUUUUUGCUCUCCUCGGUUUGGUCGCCCCGCACAUCUCCCGAUAUAAUGUUGCCAAAACGGCAGACCCCCAACUAAAUUCACCGGCUGCUCUAAAAUCAACGAGUUUUAGCAGCCACCUUAGAUGUACACGGCUCCAUGACGUGUCGGCCAUCAGAUAGCCUCCAAUUAUUUGAAGAAUGUAUGAUCGAGCAUAUCGGAUUCUUUCAAUUUCGGUUGAAUUUGCAUUCAGAUCGGGGAAGGUGGCACGUAACCAGCCCAUCUCCACCUUACCUCCAUCCAUUUUAUCCGGAAUAGCGCCCAAAAGCUCGUAGCACACCGCCUCCCAAUUGCUAGAUUGGGCAGACCCGGUGACUGGGUGCCCGUCUACCGGCAAUCCCAAAUACAGAUGGACAUCUUCUAGAGUGAUAGUGCACUCUCCACAUGGAAGAUGAAAUGUGUGCGUCUCGGGUCUCCACCUCUCGAUGAGCGCACUGAUCAGUUUCGGCUCCAACUUGCAUCCCCGGCCUACCGUCGCCACGUGCCAAAAUCCCACUUCCCGCAGGUAGUUCUCUACUAACGGUGAUGGAGGACCAUGUAUAUUCCGAAUAUUGCAUUCCAAUACCCGAUCUUUAGACUUUUAUAACAAAAAAUAAAUUAAUAAUUAUCUAAAAAUACAUAAAUAAAAAUAAAUUAAUAAUACUUACCAUUUUCAUUUGCUCCACCGAUAUGUGAUUCCUAUCAAGACGAAUCAAUGAUCCGGCCAUUGUUGAAAAUAUUAAAAAUUUUAAAAUUAUUUUAAAAAAAUAAAAAUAUUUAAAAUUUUCUUAAAAAAAUGAAAUUGAACGGAAAAAGAAAUUUAAUAUGGAUUUGAGAGAUUUUUUGAAGGAAAUUGAGAGGAUUUUGGAAGGAAUUUGAGAGUUUAAGAGAAUUUUGGAAGGAAUUUAAGAGAAUUUUUGAAGGAAAUUGAGAUAGGAUUUGUUUGUGAAAAAAUAAGGGGUAGGGGGUUUUAUAGUAAAAAAAUUGUGACCGUUGGAGGGGCAACGGUCAAAUUUUUGACCGUUGGGGCACUGUUCACACGCACGUGUCAUCACGUCCACGUCAGCACGCCCUGAAAUAUAACUAUGAAUAAUUUUUUUUUUCAUCUGGAUAAGGUGGAAAAGGAUACAAUUACAAGGUGCCACUUAAUUCAAAGCGAAAUGGCGGUCUCCUCUUCCACAGUCUCUGCUUCCGUUCCUCCAUUUCUUUGCUGCAACACCACCAAAAUUCCCAGCUUUAAAGUCCCACGCCACACGCCACUACGUUUAUGCAAUGCUAAAAGAACGCAGAUUUGGGUCAAGAGGAGCUGUUUCAACUCAACCAUCACUGCUAAAGUCGCUCAACAAAGCGAUUUGCAGUAUAGGAAGCUCGGCGACUCUGAUCUUCAAAUCAGUGAAAUCACAUUGGGAACUGUAAGAGCUUUGAUUUCUUGAUAAUUGGUAUUUUUCUGUUUUGUUGAAAGGGAUUUCUCUUUUAUUUUCUUUUGUUGGGUUUGAAUUGUUGGUCUUUUGUUUUGGGGAAGUAAAUGAUUCGAAGAGAAUGAGAUUUAAAUGAAUUUAGCUUGAAUGGAUGCAUCACUUCAUGUUUGUUUGUUUAACUUUUUAGGAUUAUUAGUGUUUGGUUCAUGAUGAUUAAUAAUUUUUGAAUGGUUAAAUGCUGCUAUUAGUCUGAUUAUUUUUAAUUUUUUUACUUUUUGAAUUAUAAAAAUGCAGGCUAAUUAUUAAAUUCAUUUACUUUUUGGGUAAAAGUACAUUAGAUCAAAGGAAAACUAGUUCUUCUAUUUAAAAUUUUAUCAAAUUCUUCGGUUAAAAAUUAAUCUUUGUGCAUUAACAUGGAGUACACAUAAUACGCCACAUGUCACAGUUUGGUUAUUUCAUCAUCCACACCGGUUUUUAACUGUACAAAUAGAUCAAAUUUUUAGCAGAAAGAACAUAUUUGUUCUUGAAUUUAAUGUAUAGAGUUUAGUUUACCUAUUUCUUAACAAAGGAGGCAAAAUACAAUCUAGCUUCUUUUAUAGUGCUUUUACCUUGAGUUUUUGCUAUUCCCAAAAUUUGACCCGUCAAAUAUAUUAUCAUAUAUGUAAUGUUGUGGUAGUUUUUAUUUUCACAUAUUAUUCACAAAAAAGACAGUUAAUGGAUUUAAUUGCAUUUGUUUGCAGAAAAACUGAAAUUUUAGAAUUCGAAAAUUAUGAGGACUAAGAAUGAUCCAAUUGGAGAAUAUGGAUUAAAUCUAAUACUUUAUUCAUAGCACAAGAUAAUAGCUGAAUUUAAUCAACUGGAUUUAACUGUUACCAUUUGGGUGUAGUUGAAAUUUCAACGGAGACUAAAGUCAUAAUUUAGGCAUAGUAUAGGGACUAAUAACAUAAUUUAGCCAUUUUUGAAUUGUGUUGGUUUUUUUUUUUCUUCAUGAACUUUAAACUAAUAUUAAACAAGCUUUAAAUAAGUUUUGUAUAAUUAGUUAAACAAAUAUAAACGAGCUUCUUCUAAUCUGAACAUGCUUUAUUAGUAUUUAGUUCGUUAAACGAGUUUCAAAAUCUUGUUAAUAUUUAUUUUAUUUAGCUUGAUAAACGAAUAUAAAGGAACAAAGACCGAAUUGUUUAUGAACUGUUUAUCGAACUUUCGGUUUUACAGCCUUAUGUUUGAUUGCUUCAGAUGACAUUUGGAGAACAAAAUACAGAGAAAGAAGGUCAUGAAAUGCUCAGCUAUGCUUUUGAACAUGGAAUCAAUGCUCUCGAUACUGCUGAACACGCAAGUUCUUUGGUGUGCAUAUACUGUAUACGGGCUGUAUUUUUUUUCUAGUCUGGAGUUCGAGUUUUGUUCGAUAUCUUCACUCAAGUUUUUAAGUGCCACUAAAGCUCUCUCUUGCUCAUGCUUUCGAUUUCCCAGUACCCAUUUCCCAUGAAGAAAGAGACGAGUGGAAGAACCGAUCUCUACAUUGCUAGCUGGCUGAAGUCUCAACCUCGCGAUAAGGUACUUUUUUCAUACCAGAUGACAUAUUUGUGUUCCUGACUCGAAAUUUUCGAGACACUGUUGUAUUGGCUCAUCUCUCGUGAAUAUCUCGAUGAGCUUAUGUUUGUACUACUUGAGUAUUCGUUGAGGAAUUGAUUUGAGUACUGGUUUCUACGUGCAUAUUUUCCGCAGGUUAUUUUGGCAACAAAAGUAUGCGGCUAUUCAGAACGAUCGGCUCACCUACGUGACAAUGCAAAAGUUUUACGGGUUGAUGCUGUGAACAUUAGAGAAAGCGUAGAGAAAAGCCUUAAACGACUCAACACCGAUUACAUUGAUUUACUGCAAAUUCAUUGGUAAGGUUACAGUUCUUUUAGGUGCAUCCAUGUGACGGUAGGCAUUUACAGACAUGGCAUCAACUUGCUUGUACUGGUG
This 8897-nucleotide long non-coding RNA is filed under the name Gossypium barbadense (sea-island cotton). Its description in RNAcentral is "long non-coding RNA (GBAR_LNC013131)". The stretch from base 1589 to 1733 matches the Rfam family "MIR7502 microRNA precursor family". Lineage: Eukaryota; Viridiplantae; Streptophyta; Magnoliopsida; Malvales; Malvaceae. The record is from RNAcentral.